GCUUCGGUGGUCUAGAUGGUUAUGAUUUCGGUCUCAUAAGUUAUGAGUCCCUUCUAGGGAUGCAAUCCGAAGGCCCGUGGUUCGAGUCCGCGCCGAAGCA
Wallemia sebi is the source of this 100-nucleotide transfer RNA. It matches the Rfam family "tRNA". Rfam says of the family: Transfer RNA (tRNA) molecules are approximately 80 nucleotides in length. Their secondary structure includes four short double-helical elements and three loops (D, anti-codon, and T loops). The record is from Rfam. Lineage: Eukaryota; Fungi; Basidiomycota; Wallemiomycetes; Wallemiales; Wallemiaceae.